Molecule: long non-coding RNA, 453 nt
Organism: Lolium rigidum
Lineage: Eukaryota; Viridiplantae; Streptophyta; Magnoliopsida; Poales; Poaceae
Exons: 4
Source: RefSeq, a predicted model, not a curated record
GAUGACAUUCAUUGGUACGUAGCAGUUGUAAAUGCCAGAUUAAGAUGUAUCCAGGUGCUCGACUCGCUAGGCAGUGGAAUGCACCGCAAAGAUCUCGCGGCUAUGCUACAAGGACUGGAAAAUGUUUUCACAUAUGCAUUGACGUGCAUGGAACUAAGAUCUGAUAAAUGGAAGGACCUAAACAUCAAAACAUGGAAAAUAGAAGAGUGUAUUAAGAGAAGCCUACAGACAGAUGGGUCAUCGUGUGGAUUGUGGAGGUUAAAUUUCAUGGAAUACUGGACAUGAAAUAUUUUGUCUGACAUUUUUUACCAGGAACACAUGAUAAAUUUUAGGACAAAAUUGGCGGUAAUAUUGGUCGAUUCGGAAUUGAACAAUGAUGACAUAAGAAAUCGAGAUUUGUCCCUUGAUGAGGACGAUAACACGGAUCCCACCGAUUGUAUGAUUCUGGAUGAU